This 290-nucleotide long non-coding RNA is filed under the name Sorghum bicolor (sorghum). Its description in RNAcentral is "long non-coding RNA (SBIC_LNC014587)". The record is from RNAcentral. Lineage: Eukaryota; Viridiplantae; Streptophyta; Magnoliopsida; Poales; Poaceae.
CUGUAACCAAAAAAUAUUGAGAAAGAUAUUUUAAAGAACUUAGAGCAUAUUCCUACUAAGACUCUUUUUUGUGUUUUCUCCCAGUGUAGGAGUAAAAAAUUUUUGGUGGAUGGAAAGGCAUGUUUGUGCACAUUCCCAGUGUUGGAAUGUCAGAUAUAUGUGGGUGUAUGUGAUCUUGAUCUUAGGAGCAUGAUUUCUCUUGACAUAGGUCAAUAAGGUUUGACAAAACUCAAUAUAAAGCAAGUAGCCUAUGAGCUAGUUUAUAUCUAUCAUGCAUGGCUCUAGUAGGA